This is a small nuclear RNA of Rhododendron vialii, 130 nucleotides long. The record is from RefSeq and is a predicted model, not a curated record. NCBI's taxonomy places the organism in Eukaryota, Viridiplantae, Streptophyta, Magnoliopsida, Ericales, Ericaceae.
GUGUUCGUAAGAAGGAGAGAUGGUUGGCAUCUCCCCAGACAGGGUCGGGAACAGUCUUUGGGCUAACCUGUUUGCUAAACACAUCCGGUUAAGGCUACCCGUAUCGGUGUAUCUAUAACCGAAUUUUUUU